AGCAGCCGCGGUAAUUCCAGCUCCAAUAGCGUAUAUUAAAGUUGCUGCAGUUAAAAAGCUCGUAGUUGAAUUUCGGGACUAAUAUGUCGGUCGUGCCUCGGUACGUACUGGCUUAUUGGUUUCUCCUUUCUGAAGAACCAUGAUGUCAUUUAUUUGGUGUCGUGGGGAAUCAGGACUGUUACUUUGAAAAAAUUAGAGUGUUUAAAGCAGGCUUACGCUUGAAUACAUUAGCAUGGAAUAAUGAAAUAGGACGUUUGAUUCUAUUUUGUUGGUUUCUAGGAUUGACGUAAUGAUUAAUAGGGAUAGUUGGGGGCAUUAGUAUUCAAUUGUCAGAGGUGAAAUUCUUGGAUUUAUUGAAGACUAACUACUGCGAAAGCAUUUGCCAAGGAUGUUUUCAUUAAUCAAGAACGAAAGUUAGGGGAUCGAAGACGAUCAGAUACCGUCGUAGUCUUAACCAUAAACUAUGCCGACUAGGGAUCGGAUGAUGUUAAUUUUUUAAUGACUCAUUCGGCGCCUUACG
RNAcentral lists this unclassified non-coding RNA (520 nucleotides) under uncultured Glomus. RNAcentral's name for it is "SSU rRNA". It matches the Rfam family "Eukaryotic small subunit ribosomal RNA", at positions 569 to 1092 of the family's 1831-position model. The record is from RNAcentral. Lineage: Eukaryota; Fungi; Glomeromycota; Glomeromycetes; Glomerales; Glomeraceae.